RNAcentral lists this ribosomal RNA (443 nucleotides) under uncultured bacterium. Its description in RNAcentral is "bacterial SSU rRNA". It matches the Rfam family "Bacterial small subunit ribosomal RNA", at positions 337 to 794 of the family's 1533-position model. The record is from RNAcentral.
GCCUACGGGGGGCAGCAGUGGGGAAUAUUGCGCAAUGGGGGAAACCCUGACGCAGCAACGCCGCGUGAAGGAUGAAGGUUUUCGGAUUGUAAACUUCUUUGAUGAGGGACGAAAAAAAUGACGGUACCUCAAAAACAAGCCACGGCUAACUACGUGCCAGCAGCCGCGGUAAUACGUAGGUGGCGAGCGUUGUCCGGAAUUACUGGGUGUAAAGGGCGUGUAGGCGGGGAGACAAGUCAGAUGUGAAAUACCGAGGCUUAACUUCGGGGCUGCAUCUGAAACUGUUUUUCUUGAGUGUCGGAGAGGAAAGUGGAAUUCCCAGUGUAGCGGUGAAAUGCGUAGAUAUUGGGAGGAACACCAGUGGCGAAGGCGACUUUCUGGACGACAACUGACGCUGAGGCGCGAAAGCGUGGGGAGCAAACAGGAUUAGAUACCCUGGUAGG